Molecule: ribosomal RNA, 497 nt
Filed under: uncultured bacterium
Lineage: Bacteria
Description: partial 16S ribosomal RNA
Rfam family: Bacterial small subunit ribosomal RNA
Source: RNAcentral
GAUGAACGCUGGCGGCGUGCCUAAUACAUGCAAGUCGAGCGAACAGACGAGGAGCUUGCUCCUUUGACGUUAGCGGCGGACGGGUGAGUAACACGUGGAUAACCUACCUAUAAGACUGGGAUAACUUCGGGAAACCGGAGCUAAUACCGGAUAACAUGUUGAACCGCAUGGUUCAACAGUGAAAGACGGUCUUGCUGUCACUUAUAGAUGGAUCCGCGCCGCAUUAGUUAGUUGGUAAGGUAACGGCUUACCAAGGCAACGAUGCGUAGCCGACCUGAGAGGAUGAUCGGCAACACUGGAACUGAGACACGGUCCAGACUCCUACGGGAGGCAGCAGUAGGGAAUCUUCCGCAAUGGGCGAAAGCCUGACGGAGCAACGCCGCGUGAGUGAAGAAGGUCUUCGGAUCGUAAAACUCUGUUAUUAGGGAAGAACAAAUGUGUAAGUAACUAUGCACGUCUUGACGGUACCUAAUCAGAAAGCCACGGCUAACUACGUG